This 498-nucleotide ribosomal RNA is filed under the name uncultured bacterium. Its description in RNAcentral is "partial 16S ribosomal RNA". It matches the Rfam family "Bacterial small subunit ribosomal RNA", at positions 30 to 523 of the family's 1533-position model. The record is from RNAcentral.
AUUGAACGCUGGCGGCAUGCUUUACACAUGCAAGUCGAACGGUAACAGGCCGCAAGGUGCUGACGAGUGGCGAACGGGUGAGUAAUGCAUCGGAACGUGCCCAGUCGUGGGGGAUAACGCAGCGAAAGCUGCGCUAAUACCGCAUACGAUCUAUGGAUGAACGCGGGGGACCGUAAGGCCUCGCGCGAUUGGAGCGGCCGAUGUCAGAUUAGGUAGUUGGUGGGGUAAAGGCUCACCAAGCCAACGAUCUGUAGCUGGUCUGAGAGGACGACCGGCCACACAUGGACUGAGAAAUGGCCCAGACGCCUACGGGAGGCAGCAGUAGUGAAUUUUGGACAAUGGGCGCAAGCCUGAUCCAGCAAUGCCGCGUGCAGGAAGAAGGCCUUCGUGUUGUAAACUGCUUUUGUACGGAACGAAACGGUCCUGGUUAAUACCCGGGGCUAAUGACGGUACCGUAAGAAUAAGCACCGGCGAACUACGUGCCAGCCGCCGCCGUAA